Long non-coding RNA from Ictalurus punctatus (channel catfish), 3638 nucleotides. NCBI's taxonomy places the organism in Eukaryota, Metazoa, Chordata, Actinopteri, Siluriformes, Ictaluridae. The record is from Ensembl.
UAGCGAUCAAAUAAGACCCAAGCCAGGAGAGGACCGUUCCCUUAAUGCCAACAACAUUUUCUAAUCUAUCAAGGAGAAUAGUAUGAUCUAUAGUAUCAAAAGCUGCACUAAGGUCAAGUUACACAAGCAACGAGACACAACCCCAAUCAGAGGCCAGUAGUUGAUCAUUUACUGCUUUUUCUAGCACUGUCUCUGUGAUAUGAUGAGGUCUAAACCCAGACUGAUACAUUUCAUGAAUCUUGUUCCUAUCUAAGUACGAGCAUAGCUGCUGUGCUACAACUUUUUUAUAUCGUGAAGAAAAAGGGGAGAUUAUAUAUUGGUCUAUAGCUGGACAGUUGAGAGGGGUCAAGGUCAGGUUUUUAAAUCAGGGGCUUAAUAACUGCUAAUUUAAAUGAUUUUGGUACAUAGCCAAUGCUAAGGGAAGAAUUUAUUAUAUUUAGAAGGGGUUAAAUUACUCCAGGACAAAUCUGUUUAAAGAAACAUGUAGGUAAAGGAUCUAGUAUACAAAUUGAUGAUUUUGUUGAAGAGAUUAAUGGAGCUAGUCCGGUCUCUCCGAGGGGAGUAAAACAUUCUAAUCAUUGAACAGAUAUUGCUAUAUUAUCAUCUACAGGGUUAGUUAUAAAACUGUCUGGUUUUAAUUUAAUAGCCUGAAUUUCAUAUCUAAUAUUUUCAUCUUUACCAAUGAAAAAAUUCAAGAAAUCUUCGCUGCUAUGUAAUGAUUGUGUGCUUCUUUCUGUACUCAUUUUAUUCCUAGUUAAUUUUGCCACCGUGUUGAAUAGAAAUCUCGCAUUUUUUUUGGUAUCUCCUAUUAAGGUGGAGAGAUAGACUUUACUAGCAUCACUAGGAGAUUUUCUAUAGUUCAGUAGGCUCUCCUACCAUGCUGUUUGAUUUGGUUUGAAGCCAUUUACCUUCUAAUUGUCGAGUGGUCUGUUUUAAGGUACGCAUUUGAUCAUUAUACCAGGGUGCUAGCUUUUUCUGUCUAAUUAUUUUUCUUUUGAGUGGAGCCACUCUAUCUAACAUGUAGCAGUGCGUUGACUCUAAGCAUUCAGUUGCCUGAUCGAGUUCUAUGGGAUCAGACAGUGAUCCAAAUCUAACUGAUGUCUCUGGGAGGUUAUUGGUGAAGCUCUGUGCAGUAGCUGACGUGAAUGUACGUUUUAUCCGGUAGUGAGCCGAGGUGAAAAUAUUAUGAUCAAUACGUAUUAUGAAUGAGAUAAACUCUGAGACAACUUCAGACUAUGGAAAAAUUACAAUAUUUUCUAUAUUUAGAAAUGUUAGUAUCAGGUUAAGAGUGUGACCACCAUUAUGAGUAGGUCCUAUUACAUUCUGAUUGACCCCUACUGAAUCUAAGAUGGACACAACCGCUGUUCUCAGAGGGUCUUCCGGGUUAUCAAAAUGAAUAUUAAAAUCACCAAAGAUUAAUGGUUUUUCUACAGAAACUUUUUUUGAGAUAAAAUCAGCAAAUUCACUAAGGAAUUCAAUAUAUGGUCCAGGGGGUUUGUAAAUAAUAAUUAGAGGUAUUGACUUAUUUUUUGUAGCUACAUAAGUUAUACUGGUAUAAAGAAUUUCAAAAGAGUUGAAUUUAUGACAAGGUUUUUGUGUGACGCCUAGAUUUUGACUAUGGAUGAGACCAACACCUCCUCCUCUACCAGUUGAACGAGGCUGAUGUACAUAACUGUAUCCAGGAGGACUGGCUUCAUUAAUGCUAUGUACUCCUUUGGUUUAAUCCAAAUUUCUGUUAAACACAUUAUGUUACAUUCCUGAUCAGUAAUGAUUUUAUUUACAAUAAGAGCCUUAGACAUAAGAGAUCUAAUGUUUAAUAGUCCUAGCUUCAGAUCAAAGGUGCUGGAUGUGCAUUUGGUAUGAUCUAAUUUUAUGUUAAUUAGGUUAGUAAAACAAACUUUCCGAAAUUUUCUAUGUAUAUAGCUCGGGGAACAGACAGUCUCUAUAGAAUGUACUAUUGCCCGAUUGACUCCAAUAUGAUAUUUUUCACAUAGUUAGACAUAAUACAGUACUAUGAAAUAUUUCUGACCUAAAAUAAGACGAAAUAUGAUUGUUCACAUUAAAAUGUAAAACUUGAUGAUAAAGUAUGAUAAGGUGAAAAAAGUGACAUUUCAUGUCUAGAAAGUCACUUUUCAUCAAAAGUACAAUGACAAAACUAGUUCCCAUUCAUCCUGUGUCCCCAUGCACACUUGUGCUCUUUAUAAGCUCAAAACGCUAUACAGCGAUUGAGAAGGCGCUAGGAGCAAAGGAAAGUGGUUUUUCCAACAAACUCAUGUAAUCAAUUGUCCGACCUACUCCCGUAUGAUAUUUUUCACAUAUUUACACAUAAUAUAGUACUAUGAAAUGUUUCUGACCUAAAAUAUUAUGAAAUAUGAUUGUUUACAUUAAAAUGUAAAAGUUGAUGAUAAAGUGUGCUAAGGUGAAAAAAGUGACAUUUUAUGUCUAGAAAGUCACUUUUCAUCAAAAGUACAAUGACAAAACUAGUUCCCAUUCAUCCUGUGUCCCCAUGCACACUUGUCCUCUUUAUACUCUCAAAACGCUAUACAUCGCUUCAGAAGGGGCUUGGAGCAAAAGAAAGUGGUUUUUCCUACAAACUCAUGUAAUCAAUUGCCCGACCUACUCCAAUAUGAUAUUUUUCACAUAUUUACACAUAAUAUAGUACUAUGAACUGUUUCUGACCUAAAAUAUUACGAAAUAUGAUUGUUGACAUUAAAAUGUAAAAUGUUGAUGAUAAAGUGUGCUAAGGUGAAAAAAGUGACAUUUUAUGUCUAGAAAGUCACUUUACAUCAAAAGUACAAUGACGAAACUAGUUCCCAUUCAUCCUGUGUCCCCUUUCACACUUGUGCUCUUUAUCCGCUCAAAACGCUAUACAGCGAACGAGAAGGCGCUAGGAGCAAAGGAAAGUGGUUUUUCUAAUAAACUCAUAUAAUCAGUUGCCCGACCUACUCCAAUUUGAUUCUUUUCACAUAUUUAGACAUAAUAUGGUACUAUGCAAUGUUUCUGACCCAAAAUAUUACGAAAUAUGAUUGUUUACAUUAAAGUGCAAAAAGUUGAUGAAAAUGUAUGAUAAGGUGAAAAAAGUGACAUUUUAUGUCUAGAAAGUCACUUUUUAUCAAAAGUACAAUAACAAAAUUAGUUCCCAUUCAUCCUGUGUCCCCUUACACACUUGUGCUCUUUAUCCGCUCAAAACGCUAUACAGCGAACGAGAAGGCGCUAGGAGCAAAGGAAAGUGGUUUUUCUAGCAAACUCAUAUAAUCAGUUGCCCGACCUACUCCAAUUUGAUUCUUUUCACAUAUUUAGACAUAAUAUAGUACUAUGCAAUGUUUCUGACCCAAAAUAUUACGAAAUAUGAUUGUUUACAUUAAAGUGCAAAAGUUGAUGAAAAUGUAUGAUAAGGUGAAAAAAGUGACAUUUUAUGUCUAGAAUGUCACUUUGAAUCAAAAGUACAAUAACAAAACUAGUUCCAAUUCAUCCUGUGUCCCCUUACACACUUGUGCUCUUUAUCCGCUCAAACGCUAUACAGCGAACGAGAAGGCGCUAGGAGCAAGGGAAAGUGGUUUUUCUAACAAACUCAUAUAAUCAGUUGCCCGACCUACUCCAAUUUGAUUCUUUUCACAUAUUUAGACAUAAUAUAGCAC